Molecule: ribosomal RNA, 253 nt
Filed under: uncultured Oscillospira sp.
Lineage: Bacteria; Bacillati; Bacillota; Clostridia; Eubacteriales; Oscillospiraceae
Description: partial 16S ribosomal RNA
Rfam family: Bacterial small subunit ribosomal RNA
Source: RNAcentral
UACGUAGGGGGCAAGCGUUGUCCGGAUUUACUGGGUGUAAAGGGCGUGUAGCCGGGCUGACAAGUCAGAUGUGAAAUCCCGUGGCUCAACCACGGAACUGCAUUUGAAACUGUCGGUCUUGAGUAUCGGAGAGGCAGGCGGAAUUCCUAGUGUAGCGGUGAAAUGCGUAGAUAUUAGGAGGAACACCAGUGGCGAAGGCGGCCGCCUGGCCUGUUGCUGACGCUGAGGCACGAAAGCGUGGGGAGCAAAUAGG